This 162-nucleotide ribosomal RNA is filed under the name uncultured bacterium. Its description in RNAcentral is "partial 16S ribosomal RNA". It matches the Rfam family "Bacterial small subunit ribosomal RNA", at positions 355 to 509 of the family's 1533-position model. The record is from RNAcentral.
UAGGGAAUUUUCGUCAAUGGGCGCAAGCCUGAACGAGCGAUGCCGCGUGAGUGAAGAAGGCCUUCGGGUCGUAAAGCUCUGUUGCGGGGGAAAAAAGGCAACUACAGGAAAUGGUAGAUGACAGAUGGUGCCCCGCCAGAAAGUCACGGCUAACUACGUGCC